RNAcentral lists this ribosomal RNA (349 nucleotides) under Enterococcus faecium. RNAcentral describes it as "partial 16S ribosomal RNA". It matches the Rfam family "Bacterial small subunit ribosomal RNA", at positions 75 to 420 of the family's 1533-position model. The record is from RNAcentral. Lineage: Bacteria; Bacillati; Bacillota; Bacilli; Lactobacillales; Enterococcaceae.
CUCCACCGGAAAAAGAAGAGUGGCGAACGGGUGAGUAACACGUGGGUAACCUGCCCAUCAGAAGGGGAUAACACUUGGAAACAGGUGCUAAUACCGUAUAACAAUCGAAACCNCAUGGUUNUGAUNAAAGGCNCUUUCGGNUGUCGCUGAUGGAUGGACCCGCGGUGCAUUAGCUAGUUGGUGAGGUAACGGCUCACCAAGGCNACGAUGCAUAGCCGACCUGAGAGGGUGAUCGNCCNCAUUGGGACUGAGACACGNCCCAAACUCCUACGGGAGGCAGCAGUAGGGAAUCUUCGGCAAUGGACGAAAGUCUGACCGAGCAACGCCNCGUGAGUGAAGAAGGUNUUCG